Molecule: ribosomal RNA, 451 nt
Filed under: uncultured bacterium
Lineage: Bacteria
Description: bacterial SSU rRNA
Rfam family: Bacterial small subunit ribosomal RNA
Source: RNAcentral
GUGGGGAAUAUUGCGCAAUGGGGGAAACCCUGACGCAGCGACGCCGUGUGAGUGAUGAAGGUUUUCGGAUCGUAAAGCUCUGUCGGGUGGAAAGAAUAAAGGCUGUGUAAAUAAUGCAGUCUGAUGACGGUACCACCAAAGGAAGCACCGGCUAACUCCGUGCCAGCAGCCGCGGUAAUACGGAGGGUGCAAGCGUUGUUCGGAAUUAUUGGGCGUAAAGGGCGUGUAGGCGGGUAUGCAGGUCAGGUGUGAAAUCCCUCGGCUCAACCGAGGAAGUGCAUCUGAAACCGCAUAUCUUGAGUACGAGAGAGGCAGAUGGAAUUCCCAGUGUAGAGGUGAAAUUCAUAGAUAUUGGGAAGAACACCGGUGGCGAAAGCGGUCUGCUGGCUCGAUACUGACGCUGAGACGCGAAAGCGUGGGGAGCAAACAGGAUUAGAAACCCUUGUAGUCC